This 1196-nucleotide long non-coding RNA is filed under the name Lonchura striata (white-rumped munia). RNAcentral describes it as "domestica (Bengalese finch) lncRNA (ENSLSDG00000014009.1)". The record is from RNAcentral. Lineage: Eukaryota; Metazoa; Chordata; Aves; Passeriformes; Estrildidae.
UACUGUAGCUCCAAUUAAUGGUAGUAGAAGUUACACUUGUAAAUUCCCCCACGCAUUAAUGAGUGAACAGACCCCCUCUGUUUAGUUAACCAUCUUCCAGUUACCUGGCACUUUCCCCAUCCCUUGUGAGAUCUCAAAUAUUUAAUUAAAGCCUUUCCUUUUUUUUUCCUUUUUCUUUUUUUUCCUCCCCCCACUCUCCUUCAUUCAGUUUGUUGAGUUGUAAUUCUUGUUGGCCUGAUGCCUUGGCAACAUUCAGCACUUCUAAUUGCCUGUAUAGUCUGGCCUAGUCAUGGAGCCUUUUAACUUUCAUUCAGGCUUCCAGCAGUAUCAGCCUCACUGGUCACAAGCUUCCCACUCAGGUUCCGUUCACAGCCCUUUUGCUGAUUACUUGUUAUGUAUUUAAAGAGCUCCAUACUGUUUAUUUCAUUUCCUGUUUGAGAUAGUCUGUUUGCUUAAUUUUUUUCUAUGCUAAUUUAAUUUUAAACAUAUAGGGCUGUCUUCCUGGUCAAACAAGCCAGAAUUUUGCAUCCAUAUGUUACAUUAAAUAAUAAUAAAACAACAAAUAAUAGUCAAUGCUUUCUACUUCUAUAAUGUCUACCAUUCAAUGAUCUCAUAGCAUUCUUAUUUUACAAGUGGUAAAAUGGUGUCAAGAGACAUGAACUACUUGUUCAACAAUAUGUAUGACAUCUGUUACAGAGCCAGACACAGGAUUGAAUAGUUGGGUUUUCAUUAAUAGCAGUUAGUCUAAAAAUUGCAAUAUGCUAUAGGAAUUAUUAGGUUAAAAUAUGCUUCAGCAGAGUGGUGGAGACAUGUAUUGUAGAGACUUUUGUUCUCAGAAUAUCAUCUUUAUUGGCAUAUAAGGUGCAGAAUGGACAGGGGAAUCCAAUGGACAUUCAUGUGGACUCUGUAAAGGUCAGAAUGCAAGGGCAAAGAAGAACCAAUUGUCUCUGUAGCAAGUGUGAGUGGAGGCCAGGCUUGAAAAGAAGAAGGAACAUUCCUUGCUGGCUGGGGAUGGCUGUACAGAAAAACUGCUGCAAGGUGGACAGAAUCAGAGCCUUCUCUUCAAGUUCCUUAGCUCUGUGUGCUGACCUUGCAUAAAUGCCAUGUAGGUUUACCCUUGAGAAAAUUGGGCUAAUCUGCUUUGUGCUUGCCAGUCUACAGGAAUAAACAUGGUAAGAGGAAAGAAUAUUAAAGCA